CAGUGAAUGUUUUAACGGCCGCGGUAUCCUAACCGUGCAAAGGUAGCGUAAUCACUUGUCUUCUAAAUAAAGACCAGUAUGAAUGGCUAAAUGAGGGCCCUCCUGUCUCCUUUAACUAAUCAGUGAAACUGAUCUACCAGUACAAAAGCUGGUAUAACACCAUAAGACGAGAAGACCCCGUGGAGCUUUAAACCCUAAGCCAAGAAUACUAUCAACGUACACUCAUUUGACAAAGGUUUUAAGUUGGGGCGACUUCGGAACAAAAUAAAACUUCCGAGCAUAAAGAUUUAUCUUACCAAGACUAACAAGUCAAAGCAAAACUUGACCCAGCACAUACUGACUAUCGAACCAAGUUACCCCGGGGAUAACAGCGCCAUCUUCUUCAAGAGUCCAUAUCGACAAGAAGGUUUACGACCUCGAUGUUGGAUCAGGACACCCCAAUGGUGUAACCGCUAUUAAAGGUUCGUUUGUUCAACGAUUAAAGUCCUACG
This 491-nucleotide ribosomal RNA is filed under the name Sceloporus variabilis. RNAcentral describes it as "partial large subunit ribosomal RNA". It matches the Rfam family "Bacterial large subunit ribosomal RNA", at positions 1910 to 2600 of the family's 2925-position model. The record is from RNAcentral. Lineage: Eukaryota; Metazoa; Chordata; Lepidosauria; Squamata; Phrynosomatidae.